ACCAAGGAAGAAAACUGCCCCGUCAGACCAAAACAAACCGAAACAAAUGGCCAAACGUAACCUCUCCGGUGCUCUCCAUCCUUCUUCUGGCCUCUCCGUU
RNAcentral lists this non-coding RNA (100 nucleotides) under Paramoeba aestuarina. Lineage: Eukaryota; Discosea; Flabellinia; Dactylopodida; Paramoebidae. The record is from RNAcentral.